GAAACCCGAAAGAUCGAAUGGGGAAAUUCAUUCGCGUUUCGAUCGCCGGCGGCGGUGGCGUAGCGAGACGGACGCGMGUUCGCGYGUCGUCCGCUCCUCGCGACCGCGUCGAAGCCGGGCGUCGAACGCGUGCACUUUUCCCCUAGUAGGACGUCGUGAUCCGUCGGGCGUCGGUCUACGACCCGCCAGGUAGCCCGGACGGACGUCUUCGCGGACGUUUUUCCGUCCGGACCGGCGGUGUUCCGGCCGGCACGCUCGACGGUAUAAACGAAGGCGCGAGGCCGCUGAUAUUUCUCGCAUAUAUUAGCGUUCGGCUCGCGGCAAGCGCGUCCGGCGCACGCAGCAGGUACGGCGAUCGGACCUAGCGCCGAUUCGUCCCCGGACGASUGUUCGCCGCGAAGUUCUCGAACAGACCUCUCGUCUCUCGUGAACACACGAGAGAUCGCCGAUCGACGAC
Molecule: ribosomal RNA, 457 nt
Filed under: Agathomerus rufus
Lineage: Eukaryota; Metazoa; Arthropoda; Insecta; Coleoptera; Chrysomelidae
Description: partial 28S ribosomal RNA
Source: RNAcentral